UGGAUCACCUCCUAACAGGGAGACAACAAAAUGUUAAAUAUUAAUUUUGUCACCUUAGGUCGAUCGGUAUCUCACAUUCUUAAAUCAUUUAAGAAUUUCAUUUCCUAAGUUUUUCUAGGUCACACCCAUUUCUUUCCCUGGGCCAUUAGCUCAGGUGGUUAGAGCGCACCCCUGAUAAGGGUGAGGUCCCUGGUUCAAGUCCAGGAUGGCCCAUAUCUCUAUGUUGGGGGUAUAGCUCAGUUGGUAGAGCGCCUGCUUUGCAAGCAGGAUGUCAGCGGUUCGAGUCCGCUUACCUCCACUGAUUACCACCUCUUCCAUAACCGGUAUACAGGAAAUCUUUUGAGAUGUGAUCAAAUUCUGGAAGAAUCUAGCUUCCUAAUGAAAUCAUUAAGAUGCUGGACUCAUUGAAUUAAUUUCAUUGUUUUCAGAGAACCUUGACAACUGCAUAGAUUAUUUUUAAAGACAAUAAGCAUCUUUUAUGAUGCAGAUUUAUUAUUUGUGCGAAUGCAUUAAUAACAAUUCUAUUGAGCUGAUGCUUCAAUAUAUUAUGAAGUUAUUGGUCAAGCUACAAAGGGCUCACGGAGGAUACCUAGGCACACAGAGGCGAUGAAGG
Molecule: transfer RNA, 613 nt
Filed under: uncultured Prochlorococcus sp.
Lineage: Bacteria; Bacillati; Cyanobacteriota; Cyanophyceae; Synechococcales; Prochlorococcaceae
Description: partial contains 16S ribosomal RNA, 16S-23S ribosomal RNA intergenic spacer, and 23S ribosomal RNA
Rfam family: tRNA (bases 226-298)
Source: RNAcentral